UACAGAGGUCUCAAGCGUUGUUCGGAUUCAUUGGGCGUAAAGGGUGCGUAGGCGGCGGGGCAAGUCUGAUGUGAAAUCCCGGGGCUCAACCCCGGAACUGCAUUGGAUACUGCCUUGCUAGAGUACUGGAGAGGAGACUGGAAUUUACGGUGUAGCAGUGAAAUGCGUAGAGAUCGUAAGGAAGACCAAUGGCGAAGGCAAGUCUCUGGACAGUUACUGACGCUGAGGCACGAAGGCCAGGGGAGCAAACGGG
Molecule: ribosomal RNA, 253 nt
Filed under: uncultured bacterium
Lineage: Bacteria
Description: partial 16S ribosomal RNA
Rfam family: Bacterial small subunit ribosomal RNA
Source: RNAcentral